UACGUAGGGUGCAAGCGUUAAUCGGAAUUACUGGGCGUAAAGCGUGCGCAGGCGGUUUUGUAAGACCGAUGUGAAAUCCCCGGGCUUAACCUGGGAAUGGCGAUGGAGACUGCGAGGCUAGAGUUUGGCAGAGGGGGGUGGAAUUCCACGUGUAGCAGUGAAAUGCGUAGAGAUGUGGAGGAACACCGAUGGCGAAGGCAGCCCCCUGGGCUGAGAUUGACGCUCAGGCACGAAAGCGUGGGGAGCAAACAGG
This 253-nucleotide ribosomal RNA is filed under the name uncultured bacterium. Its description in RNAcentral is "partial 16S ribosomal RNA". It matches the Rfam family "Bacterial small subunit ribosomal RNA", at positions 524 to 776 of the family's 1533-position model. The record is from RNAcentral.